UGGCAGUUGUGGUGUAAGGAUGCUGAAAGAGAUUGCCAUGCUUGAAAAUAUACCUGCUUUAGUCAUUGAAAGGUGGAAGAAAGCAUGUGAAGCUGAUUGAAUGUGAUCGCUGAACUGCAUCAAGAGAAAUGCCAUCAGUCUCUUCAAGAAGCCCUGAUGGAAGUAAAAAUGCUUUAAUUCAAGCCCAGCUGUAUCUGGUUGACAUCUGAAGACUGCUUUGCUUGCAAGGUUCUCCACAUUUUUGCUGUGCUGCUUGUUUCAGUCUGACGGGGCUUGUGGAAAACGGUUUUAAAGACCCCCCUUUUUUCCCUCCGAGGUGUUGUAAUUUUAUUAAACUUUACCAUAUAUAUGUGUGUGUGUAUGUAUAUACAUGUAUA
This 377-nucleotide long non-coding RNA is filed under the name Sinocyclocheilus grahami. RNAcentral describes it as "lncRNA (ENSSGRG00000048882.1)". Lineage: Eukaryota; Metazoa; Chordata; Actinopteri; Cypriniformes; Cyprinidae. The record is from RNAcentral.